UAGUCUGGUGCCAGCAGCCGCGGUAAUACGGGGGAUGCAAGCGUUAUCCGGAAUAAUUGGGCGUAAAGCGCCUGUAGGUUGUUUAAUAAGUCUGUUGUUAAAGACUAGGGCUUAACCCUAGAAGAGCAGUGGAAACUACUAGACUAGAGUAUGGCAGGGGUAGAGAGAAUUUCUAGUGUAGCGGUGAAAUGCGUAGAUAUUAGAAAGAAUACCGGUGGCGAAGGCGCUCUACUGGACUAUUACUGACACUCAGAGGCGAAAGCUAGGGUAGCAAAAGGGAUUAGAUACCCCUGUAGUCCUAGCCGUAAACGAUGGAUACUAGAUGUUGUGAUUUAUUUACAGUGUCGUAGCUAACGCGUUAAGUAUCCCGCCUGGGGAGUACGCUCGCAAGGGUGAAACUCAAAGGAAUUGACGGGGGCCCGCACAAGCGGUGGAGCAUGUGGUUUAAUUCGAUGCAACGCGAAGAACCUUACCAGGGUUUGACAUACUACAAAUUCUUUAGAAAUCGAGAAGUACCUUCGGGGAUGUAGAUACAGGUGGUGCAUGGCCGUUCUU
RNAcentral lists this ribosomal RNA (555 nucleotides) under uncultured picoeukaryote. RNAcentral's name for it is "bacterial SSU rRNA". It matches the Rfam family "Bacterial small subunit ribosomal RNA", at positions 498 to 1056 of the family's 1533-position model. The record is from RNAcentral.